This 477-nucleotide ribosomal RNA is filed under the name uncultured bacterium. RNAcentral's name for it is "partial 16S ribosomal RNA". It matches the Rfam family "Bacterial small subunit ribosomal RNA", at positions 28 to 506 of the family's 1533-position model. The record is from RNAcentral.
GAUGAACGCUGGCGGCGUGCCUAACACAUGCAAGUCGAACGGAGUCCAGCCUUUAAGACCUUCGGGUCAAAGAGGGGAAGACUGAGUGGCGGACGGGUGAGUAACACGUGGGCAACCUGGCUCAUAGAGGGGGAUAACAGAGAGAAAUUUCUGCUAAUACCGCAUAAGCACACACUGCCGCAUGGCAGAGGGUGAAAAGAGAAUCGCUAUGAGAUGGACCCGCGUCUGAUUAGCCAGUUGGCAGGGUAAGAGCCUACCAAAGCGACGAUCAGUAGCCGAUCGGGAGGGAUGAACGGCCAAAUUGGGACUGAGACACGGCCAAAACCCCUACGGGAGGCAGCAGGGGGGGAUAUUGCAAAAUGGGGGGAACCCUGAUGCAGCGACGCCGGGGGAGGAAAGAAUUAUUUCGGUAUUAAAAGCUCUAUCAGCAGGGAAGAUAAUGACAGUACCUGAAAAAGAAGCCCCGGCUAACUACGU